Molecule: transfer RNA, 86 nt
Filed under: Nematostella vectensis (starlet sea anemone)
Lineage: Eukaryota; Metazoa; Cnidaria; Anthozoa; Actiniaria; Edwardsiidae
Rfam family: tRNA
About the family: Transfer RNA (tRNA) molecules are approximately 80 nucleotides in length. Their secondary structure includes four short double-helical elements and three loops (D, anti-codon, and T loops).
Source: Rfam by way of RNAcentral
CCUUCGAUAGCUCAGUUGGUAGAGCGGGGGACUGUAGAUUUAUAAUUGUGAUCCCUAGGUCGCUGGUUCGAAUCCGGCUCAAAGGA